CUACGGGUGGCUCCAGUGGGGAAUUUUGCACAAUGGGGGAAACCCUGAUGCAGCGACGCCGCGUGCGGGAAGAAGGCCUUAGGGUUGUAAACCGCUUUCAAUUGUGAAGAAGGGAUGAGAGUUAAUAGCUUUCUGACUUGACGGUAGCAUUAGAAGAAGCACCGGCUAAUUUCGUGCCAGCAGCCGCGGUAAUACGAAAGGUGCAAGCGUUGUUCGGAUUUACUGGGCGUAAAGAGAUCGUAGGUGGUUUAUUAAGUCGGAUGUGAAAUCCCGGAGCUCAACUUCGGAACUGCAUUCGAUACUGGUAGGCUAGAGUUCGGGAGGGGAAAGCGGAAUUCCGUGUGUAGCAGUGGAAUGCGUAGAUAUACGGAGGAACACCUGAGGCGAAGGCGGCUUUCUGGACCGAUACUGACACUGAGGAUCGAAAGCGUGGGUAGCAAACAGGAUUAGAUACCCCCGUAGUC
This 464-nucleotide ribosomal RNA is filed under the name uncultured bacterium. Its description in RNAcentral is "partial 16S ribosomal RNA". It matches the Rfam family "Bacterial small subunit ribosomal RNA", at positions 339 to 795 of the family's 1533-position model. The record is from RNAcentral.